RNAcentral lists this ribosomal RNA (493 nucleotides) under uncultured bacterium. RNAcentral describes it as "partial 16S ribosomal RNA". It matches the Rfam family "Bacterial small subunit ribosomal RNA", at positions 28 to 507 of the family's 1533-position model. The record is from RNAcentral.
GACGAACGCUGGCGGCGCGCUUAACACAUGCAAGUCGAACGGAAAGGCCUGCUUUCCCUUGUGGAUUGCGGGUACUCGAGUGGCGAACGGGUGAGUAACACGUGAGUGAUCUGCCCCCAACUUGGGUAUAAGCCUGGGAAACUGGGUCUAAUUCCCGAUAGGACUGCAGGGUGUGCCUGGGGUGGAAAAAGAUUUUCUAGUGGGUGGGGAUGAGCUCGCGGCCUAUCAGCUUGUUGGUGGGGUAAUGGCCUACCAAGGCGGCGACGGGUAGCCGGCCUGAGAGGGUGGACGGCCACAUUGGGACUGAGAUACGGCCCAGACUCCUACGGGAGGCAGCAGUGGGGAAUAUUGCACAAUGGGCGGAAGCCUGAUGCAGCGACGCCGCGUGGGGGAUGACGGCCUUCGGGUUGUAAACUCCUUUCGACCGCGAGGAAGCCACCUGGUUGGAAGGGUGGUGACGGUAGUGGUAGAAGAAGCACCGGCUAACUACGUG